This 246-nucleotide long non-coding RNA is filed under the name Vombatus ursinus (common wombat). RNAcentral's name for it is "lncRNA (ENSVURG00010007241.1)". Lineage: Eukaryota; Metazoa; Chordata; Mammalia; Diprotodontia; Vombatidae. The record is from RNAcentral.
AUGGAGAAAGAAGAUGCCUCUCAAGAAGAGCAAGAUUUCAACAGAGAAAGGACCCUGAAACAGACGACCUGGAACUUGGCCUACGUCAAGUUGAUUGUUGAUGCAAGGGACAGUGUACGUGAGGAGUGACUAUCUGAGCUGACCCUUGGAUGAAGCCAGAUCUCCAUUGACUAACACUUUCCCCAGUUCACCCACCCAUCCCUGGAUAACCAGACUCCAGACAACUGAAGCCUUCUUAGGCUUCAG